RNAcentral lists this transfer RNA (72 nucleotides) under Bos taurus (domestic cattle). It matches the Rfam family "tRNA". Rfam says of the family: Transfer RNA (tRNA) molecules are approximately 80 nucleotides in length. Their secondary structure includes four short double-helical elements and three loops (D, anti-codon, and T loops). The record is from Rfam by way of RNAcentral. RNAcentral also lists the same sequence under 2 other names. Lineage: Eukaryota; Metazoa; Chordata; Mammalia; Artiodactyla; Bovidae.
UCCCUUAUGAAUCAGAUGGUAAAUAAUCUGCCUUCAAUGCAGGAAUCUCAGGUUUGAUCCCUGGUUUGGGAA